AGGCCAAGCUAAGGGGUGGGGGAUGCAGGGGGAAGGGAACAGAUCCUCCCUGGUAACUAGAGAAGGGCCAACUCCAACCACAAGAUGGUGAUGCCACUUGUGGGGCCUCAGAUUGGAGAGGACCUAGAUGAGUGACACAGCAGUGUGUGUGUGGGGGCACUGCUCACAGAUAGGAGGGGGGUGUCUUGUUGACUGCCCACCAGUUGGUGUUGGGGGGACUGGGAGGAGGGUGAGCUCUGGUGACGCGCGGCCCUCACGUGACCCGGAGCUGCAGAGCGACGCAGCCCAGGGUGCAGUCGUCACUCGCGUCUGGCUACCAGCUCCCCGCUGCCCUGCGCACGGCGGGCUGGCAACGGGCCCGGGGAAAGCGGAGCAGGUCUGCGGACCAACAAGAGUCGCGGCGGCGCAGCCGGCGGCGAGAAUCCGGAGGAGCAGGAGGAGACGGCAAGGAUAGGCCCAGG
This 461-nucleotide long non-coding RNA is filed under the name Ictidomys tridecemlineatus (thirteen-lined ground squirrel). Its description in RNAcentral is "lncRNA (ENSSTOG00000030415.1)". Lineage: Eukaryota; Metazoa; Chordata; Mammalia; Rodentia; Sciuridae. The record is from RNAcentral.